GCCCUGGUGGCGGAACUGGCAGACGCGCACGGUUGAGGGCCGUGUCCUUUAACGAGGGUGGAGGUUCGAGUCCUCUCCAGGGCA
RNAcentral lists this transfer RNA (84 nucleotides) under Chloroflexota bacterium. RNAcentral describes it as "Chloroflexi bacterium tRNA-Leu". It matches the Rfam family "tRNA". Rfam says of the family: Transfer RNA (tRNA) molecules are approximately 80 nucleotides in length. The record is from RNAcentral. Lineage: Bacteria; Bacillati; Chloroflexota.